This 75-nucleotide transfer RNA is filed under the name Thermofilum sp. Its description in RNAcentral is "tRNA-Thr". It matches the Rfam family "tRNA". From Rfam's summary of the family: Transfer RNA (tRNA) molecules are approximately 80 nucleotides in length. Their secondary structure includes four short double-helical elements and three loops (D, anti-codon, and T loops). Lineage: Archaea; Thermoproteati; Thermoproteota; Thermoprotei; Thermofilales; Thermofilaceae. The record is from RNAcentral.
GCCCCGGUCGUAUAGUCUGGCCUAGUAUGCCGGCCUAGUAAGCCGGAGAACCCGGGUUCAAAUCCCGGCCGGGGC